CCCUUAGAUGUUCUGGGCAGCACGCGCGCUACAAUGGUCUUCGCAAACGGAUGCAUUCUCGAAGGAGAAUGCCAAUCUUGGAAUCUAUGCCUUGGUCGGGACAGUUGCUUGCAAUUUUUCGACUCGAACCAGGAAUUCCUUGUAAUCGUGAUUCAUCACAUCACGAUGAAUACGUCCCUGCCCUUUGUACACACCGCCCGUCGCUCCUACCGAUCGAAGAGUUAGGUGAAUUGUUUUGAUCGAUAAGAUUUGACUAUGGUCAACUCUCGUUGUGAAAUUCUGUGAAUCUGACUGUUUAGAGGAAGGAAAAGUCGUAAC
Molecule: ribosomal RNA, 318 nt
Filed under: uncultured eukaryote
Lineage: Eukaryota
Description: partial 18S ribosomal RNA
Rfam family: Eukaryotic small subunit ribosomal RNA
Source: RNAcentral